UACGUAGGGUGCGAGCGUUGUCCGGAAUCAUUGGGCGUAAAGCGCGUGUAGGCGGCUGAGUAAGUCUGCUCUGAAAGCCCGGGGCUCAACCCCGGGAGGCGGGUGGAUACUGCUCAGCUCGAGUCCGGAAGAGGAGUGUGGAAUUCCUGGUGUAGCGGUGAAAUGCGCAGAUAUCAGGAGGAACACCAAUGGCGAAGGCAGCACUCUGGGACGGUACUGACGCUGAGACGCGAAAGCGUGGGGAGCAAACAGG
This 253-nucleotide ribosomal RNA is filed under the name uncultured bacterium. Its description in RNAcentral is "partial 16S ribosomal RNA". It matches the Rfam family "Bacterial small subunit ribosomal RNA", at positions 524 to 776 of the family's 1533-position model. The record is from RNAcentral.